This 434-nucleotide long non-coding RNA is filed under the name Brassica napus (rape). RNAcentral describes it as "long non-coding RNA (BNAP_LNC009420)". The record is from RNAcentral. Lineage: Eukaryota; Viridiplantae; Streptophyta; Magnoliopsida; Brassicales; Brassicaceae.
UGUGGACGUCCGGAUACCUGUCGGGUUCGGAUCGGAUAUUUCAGAUUUUUGGGUAUUUCGGUAUAGGGGUAUAGAACCCGUUCGGGUAUUUCUAUAUUUUGGGUUGGGUUCGGGUAUUUUUAAUUCGAGUUCGGUUAUUUCGGGUUGGGUUCGGAUAUUAAGAUUUUGAAAGAAAAUAAUUAAAUUUUCAUUUUUAGAUUUAUUCUAUUUAAAAAUAUAGAUUUCACUUAACAGUUUUUUUUAUUUUUUUAAUAGAUUGAAUGAUUGAUAGAUUUGGAGAUAACAUUUCAAAAAUAAAUAAACAUUAAUUUGGCUAUUGUUUUGAAAUUUCAAAUGUAACUUUUGUUAAUAUAUGAAACAAAAAAAUUUGACAUGCAUUUUAAUUGAGUGACAAAUCAUUUUUCCGUAAUUAUAUGUAUAUUAUAUGAUCAUAA